ACAUACGACCAUACCCACUGGAGAACUCGGGAUCCCGUCCGCUCUCCCAUAGAUAAGCCAGUGAGGGCCGGAUUAGUAGUUGGGUCGGUGACGACCAGCGAAUACCUGGUGUUGUAUGUA
This is a non-coding RNA of Colletotrichum higginsianum, 120 nucleotides long. The record is from Rfam. Lineage: Eukaryota; Fungi; Ascomycota; Sordariomycetes; Glomerellales; Glomerellaceae.